CAAUUUCUUCAUUUAUAAUCCUGGGGUCUUUCACAAUCCAGCCACCAAAUUACACACACAAAAGUUCUCAUCUUUAAUCUCUUCUCUCUCUCUCUCUCUCUCUCAAUCCAUUUUCUUUUAACAUACACAGAAAUGGAAAACACCAUUGAAGAAUUUGAAGAUGCUCUCUCGUUAUGUGACCUUUCUGAUCUCUGUGACCAUGAAACUGAACCCAGCAAUGAGAUUCCAAGCUCCCCUUCAAGCCAAGACUUCUUUGAAUUUAUCUCCACCUCAGAAACAAACUCUACGGUUGAUGAUAAUAUCAUCUUCUGUGGGAAAGUCAUUUCCUGCAGAACAGAAGACGAUCAAAGAAACCCACCUUUCAAAUCAUCAACCUCGUCAUUGCUAACAAAAAACAGGGCUUCAAAUUCAUCCUCCAAGCAUUCUUCAAAGAGUGGUACUUUUCGUUGCCCGUCUGCUAAUUCCAGGAAGC
This 472-nucleotide unclassified non-coding RNA is filed under the name Hevea brasiliensis (rubber tree). Lineage: Eukaryota; Viridiplantae; Streptophyta; Magnoliopsida; Malpighiales; Euphorbiaceae. The record is from RNAcentral.